Molecule: ribosomal RNA, 254 nt
Filed under: uncultured bacterium
Lineage: Bacteria
Description: partial 16S ribosomal RNA
Rfam family: Bacterial small subunit ribosomal RNA
Source: RNAcentral
UACGUAGGUGGCAAGCGUUGUCCGGAUUUACUGGGCGUAAAGAGCGCGCAGGCGGUCGUUCAAGUCGCGUGUGAAAGCCCCCGGCUCAACUGGGGAGGGUCAUGCGAUACUGAUCGACUCGAAGGCAGGAGAGGGUAGUGGAAUUCCCGGUGUAGUGGUGAAAUGCGUAGAUAUCGGGAGGAACACCAGUGGCGAAGGCGACUACCUGGCCUGUUUCUUGACGCUGAGGCGCGAAAGCUAGGGGAGCAAACGGG